Eptesicus fuscus (big brown bat) is the source of this 1524-nucleotide long non-coding RNA. RefSeq lists it as uncharacterized. The transcript is spliced from 3 exons. Lineage: Eukaryota; Metazoa; Chordata; Mammalia; Chiroptera; Vespertilionidae. The record is from RefSeq and is a predicted model, not a curated record.
GCCAUGCUUGUGGGGGGCACCCCUUGCGGCCCCGGGCCCGUGUCUGGAGGAGGCGGAGGUGGGCGCGAUGGCCUCCCGCAGGCAGGCGAGGUCCUGGGGGGCCGAGCGGGGUGUUGGCGGGACCCGGCCCAGGACCCCCGUGUGGUGGCGGGAGUGAGCCCCGCCUUAGGCCCGCCCUCGGCGUAGCCUCCGGGGAAAAGGACGGCAGCGGCCCUUCCUGGCCAUCACCCCGCCCGGUGUGGACCGAAAGUGAGAACGUUUGAAUCAGGCCGUUUUGUCAGAAGCAUCAGCUUUCCGGUAAAGCUGUGAAGGUUGGAACAUGGACUGUGUCGUGCCCCGGCCUCGGGCGCUGCUGGAGGGUCCCUCUGCGCAUUGUUUCAAUGGGAGGCGAGGCGCCUCAUUUCCUCCUGUCAUGUCCUCCGUCGAAGCUUUAAUGUUCGCUGCUCGCGUGGCAUGACUCCCUCAGAGCCGGCGGAGACAGCUGAGGCCACUUCAGUGCAGAGCAAGUGAGGGCACCUGAGGACCCGCCAGCUCUUCCCCCGGCAGAGAACCUGCAAUUAGACGGCACGUGGGGUCGCUCUUGGCAGAUGACUUGAGGAGACGUGGCGCUCACACCUCCACGCUGCAGGCGAGGACAUGAGGACCCCACGAGGCUUACACAGGCAGAGAGCUGGCGCUGGAGUGUGGACACACGCCUGCCCCUUGAAGGCCCGCCUCCUCGCCGUCCUGCCGGACAUAUCCAUCCGUUUCAUCUGGACGCGCCGCGGAGGCAUUUUGGAGGGAAGAACAGUGAGUGCCAUUGGCCGGCCCAGUGGGGCCUGCGCGGAGGCAGGAGGAGCGGGGAGGAGGUACUGAAGGAAAGGGUCUCAGAGAACUCAGACUGUUGUAUUUUAUGUGGCGUCUACUUUGGGGUCCAAAGUGUCACCAUAGCUUCUCAACUGAUGGAGAACCUACAGCCCCAGGGUGGGCAGGAUCAUUCCGAAAACUGAGUCCGCCCUCAGCCAACCUGAGGUUGGAUUUCCGAGGGGAGGCGUCAACUCCCUGUGAAAGCCCCUCCUUCCUGGCGUCCUGGGAGCUGAUGACGCCGAAUUUCAGACCUUCAGCUGAUCCGAUCGCUGCACCAUCCCACCUCCACCCAAAACAUCUUCCGAGGGCGUUUCCGUGGGACGGCCUCGUUCUCAGGCCCGGAGUUUGCCCCGGGAGACCCCGGGUGAUAGUGAGACUAUGGCUGGGGCUGGGUCAGGUGCUGCUCACAGCUGUGCAUCACUGAUUUCUCCUUUCAGGUGGACCUGACUUACAUUUUUAAAAGUAUGUUUUUACUGGUUUUUAGAGAGAGAGGAAGAAGGGAGAGAGAGAUAGAAACAUCCAUGAGAGAGAAAAACAUUGAUCGGCUGCCUCCUGCACGCCCCCUACUGGGGAUCAAGCCCCAAAUCCGGACAUCUGCCCUGACCGGGAAUUGAACCUGGGACCUCUUGGUGCAUGCGGCGAUGCCCAACCACUGCGCCACACAGGCCGGGCCUGACU